Molecule: ribosomal RNA, 468 nt
Filed under: uncultured bacterium
Lineage: Bacteria
Description: partial 16S ribosomal RNA
Rfam family: Bacterial small subunit ribosomal RNA
Source: RNAcentral
GACGAACGCUGGCGGCGUGCUUAAUACAUGCAAGUCGAACGGAAAGGCCCUGCUCUUGCGGGGCGCUCGAGUGGCGAACGGGUGAGUAACACGUGAGUAACCCGUCCUUGUCUUUGGGAUAACUUUAGGGAACUGGGGCUCAUACCGGGUAGGAUCUCCUGCUGCACGGUGGUGGUUGGUAAGAUUCGGCGGUUGGGGCUGGUAUCGCGGGAUAUCAGCUUGCUGGUGGGGUAGUGGGUGACCAAGGCUUUGACGGGUAGCCGGCCUGGGCGGGUGACCGGCGACAUUGGGACUGAGAUAAGGCACAGACACCGAAGCGAGGGAGCAGUGGGGAAUAUUGCCCAAUGGGCGGAGGCCUGAUGAAGCAGCGCCGCGUGCGGGAAGACGGCCUUAUGGGUGUAAAACGCUUUCGCCUGUAACGAAGCGUGAGUGACGGGAAUGGGUAAAGAAGCACCGGCUAACUACGUG